GCAAGUCGAGCGACGCAUAUCUAGUUCGUAAGAACCGGGUAUGACGGAGCGGCGAACGGGUGCGUAACACGUGACCAAUCUGCCCCGAAGACUGGGAUAGGCCGAGGAAACUCGGGUUAAUACCGGAUAAUCUCUCUGAACCGCAUGGUUCGUUGAGGAAAGGCUCCGGCGCUUCGGGAUGAGGUCGCGGCCCAUCAGCUUGUUGGUGAGGUAACGGCUCACCAAGGCUACGACGGGUAGCUGGUCUGAGAGGACGAUCAGCCACACUGGAACUGAGAUACGGUCCAGACUCCUACGGGAGGCAGCAGCAGGGAAUCUUGCGCAAUGGGCGAAAGCCUGACGCAGCGACGCCGCGUGGGGGAUGAAGGCCUUCGGGUUGUAAACCCCUUUCAGGAGGGAAGAAAAUGACGGUACCUCCAAAAGAAGCCCCGGCCAACUACGUGCCAGCAGCCGCGGUAAUACGUAGGGGGCGAGCGUUGUCCGGAUUUAUUGGGCGUAAAGGGCUCGUAGGCGGCUUGACAAGUCGGCCGUGAAAACCCAGGGCUCAACCCUGGGACGCCGGUCGAUACUGUCAUAGCUAGGGUCCGGUAGAGGAGAAUGGAAUUCCCGGUGUAGCGGUGAAAUGCGCAGAUAUC
RNAcentral lists this ribosomal RNA (635 nucleotides) under uncultured bacterium. RNAcentral's name for it is "bacterial SSU rRNA". It matches the Rfam family "Bacterial small subunit ribosomal RNA", at positions 57 to 698 of the family's 1533-position model. The record is from RNAcentral.